This 1371-nucleotide ribosomal RNA is filed under the name uncultured bacterium. RNAcentral describes it as "bacterial SSU rRNA". It matches the Rfam family "Bacterial small subunit ribosomal RNA", at positions 28 to 1381 of the family's 1533-position model. The record is from RNAcentral.
GAUGAACGCUGGCGGCGUGCCUAAUACAUGCAAGUCGAGCGAACGGACGAGAAGCUUGCUUCUCUGAUGUUAGCGGCGGACGGGUGAGUAACACGUGGAUAACCUACCUAUAAGACUGGGAUAACUUCGGGAAACCGGAGCUAAUACCGGAUAAUAUUUUGAACCGCAUGGUUCAAAAGUGAAAGACGGUCUUGCUGUCACUUAUAGAUGGAUCCGCGCUGCAUUAGCUAGUUGGUAAGGUAACGGCUUACCAAGGCAACGAUGCAUAGCCGACUUGAGAGGGUGAUCGGCCACACUGGAACUGAGACACGGUCCAGACUCCUACGGGAGGCAGCAGUAGGGAAUCUUCCGCAAUGGGCGAAAGCCUGACGGAGCAACGCCGCGUGAGUGAUGAAGGUCUUCGGAUCGUAAAACUCUGUUAUUAGGGAAGAACAUAUGUGUAAGUAACUGUGCACAUCUUGACGGUACCUAAUCAGAAAGCCACGGCUAACUACGUGCCAGCAGCCGCGGUAAUACGUAGGUGGCAAGCGUUAUCCGGAAAUAUUGGGCGUAAAGCGCGCGUANGCGGUUUUUUAGUCUGAUGUGAAAGCCCACGGCUCAACCGUGGAGGGUCAUUGGAAACUGGAAAACUUGAGUGCAGAAGAGGAAAGUGGAAUUCCAUGUGUAGCGGUGAAAUGCGCAGAGAUAUGGAGGAACACCAGUGGCGAAGGCGACUUUCUGGUCUGUAACUGACGCUGAUGUGCGAAAGCGUGGGGAUCAAACAGGAUUAGAUACCCUGGUAGUCCACGCCGUAAACGAUGAGUGCUAAGUGUUAGGGGGUUUCCGCCCCUUAGUGCUGCAGCUAACGCAUUAAGCACUCCGCCUGGGGAGUACGACCGCAAGGUUGAAACUCAAAGGAAUUGGCGGGGACCCGCACAAGCGGUGGAGCAUGUGGUUUAAUUCGAAGCAACGCGAAGAACCUUACCAAAUCUUGACAUCCUUUGACAACUCUAGAGAUAGAGCCUUCCCCUUCGGGGGACAAAGUGACAGGUGGUGCAUGGUUGUCGUCAGCUCGUGUCGUGAGAUGUUGGGUUAAGUCCCGCAACGAGCGCAACCCUUAAGCUUAGUUGCCAUCAUUAAGUUGGGCACUCUAAGUUGACUGCCGGUGACAAACCGGAGGAAGGUGGGGAUGACGUCAAAUCAUCAUGCCCCUUAUGAUUUGGGCUACACACGUGCUACAAUGGACAAUACAAAGGGCAGCGAAACCGCGAGGUCAAGCAAAUCCCAUAAAGUUGUUCUCAGUUCGGAUUGUAGUCUGCAACUCGACUACAUGAAGCUGGAAUCGCUAGUAAUCGUAGAUCAGCAUGCUGCGGUGAAUACGUUCCCGGGUCU